Molecule: ribosomal RNA, 429 nt
Filed under: Bacteroidota bacterium
Lineage: Bacteria; Pseudomonadati; Bacteroidota
Description: Bacteroidetes bacterium partial 16S ribosomal RNA
Rfam family: Bacterial small subunit ribosomal RNA
Source: RNAcentral
UAGGGAAUCUUCGGCAAUGGGGGGAACCCUGACCGAGCAACGCCGCGUGAGUGAAGAAGGUUUUCGGAUCGUAAAGCUCUGUUGUUAAGGAAGAACGAGUGUGAGAAUGGAAAGUUCAUGCUGUGACGGUACUUAACCAGAAAGGGACGGCUAACUACGUGCCAGCAGCCGCGGUAAUACGUAGGUCCCGAGCGUUGUCCGGAUUUAUUGGGCGUAAAGGGUACGUAGGCGGAUAAGCAAGUUAGAAGUGAAAUCCUGUAGCUCAACUACAGUAAGCUUUUAAAACUGCUCAUCUUGAGAUAUGGAAGGGAAAGUGGAAUUCCUAGUGUAGCGGUGAAAUGCGCAGAUAUUAGGAGGAAUACCGGUGGCGAAGGCGACUUUCUGGCCAUAAUCUGACGCUGAGGUACGAAAGCGUGGGUAGCAAACAGG